This 36-nucleotide ribosomal RNA is filed under the name Orsonwelles ventus. Its description in RNAcentral is "partial 5.8S ribosomal RNA". Lineage: Eukaryota; Metazoa; Arthropoda; Arachnida; Araneae; Linyphiidae. The record is from RNAcentral.
AAUUCAGCUGGUCGCUACUCGUCUGAUCUGAGGUCG